UACGAAGGGGGGCUAGCGUUGCUCGGAAUCACUGGGCGUAAAGGGCGCGUAGGUGGCGACCCAAGUCGAUGGUGAAAGCUCGCCGCUCAACGGCGAGUCGGCCACCGAUACUGGGUUGCUGGAGCACUGUAGAGGCUCAUGGAAUUCCGGGUGUAGCGGUGGAAUGCGUAGAGAUCCGGAAGAACACCGGUGGCGAAGGCGGUGAGCUGGGCAGUUGCUGACACUGAGGCGCGACAGCGUGGGGAGCAAACAGG
This 254-nucleotide ribosomal RNA is filed under the name uncultured bacterium. RNAcentral describes it as "partial 16S ribosomal RNA". It matches the Rfam family "Bacterial small subunit ribosomal RNA", at positions 524 to 776 of the family's 1533-position model. The record is from RNAcentral.